Molecule: ribosomal RNA, 386 nt
Filed under: uncultured bacterium
Lineage: Bacteria
Description: bacterial SSU rRNA
Rfam family: Bacterial small subunit ribosomal RNA
Source: RNAcentral
ACUCCUACGGGAGGCAGCAGUGGGGAAUAUUGCACAAUGGGCGCAAGCCUGAUGCAGCCAUGCCGCGUGUGUGAAGAAGGCCUUCGGGUUGUAAAGCACUUUCAGUAGGGAGGAAGGUAUGGUAAGUUAACACCUGCACUAUUUGACGUUACCUACAGAAGAAGCACCGGCUAACUCCGUGCCAGCAGCCGCGGUAAUACGGAGGGUGCGAGCGUUAAUCGGAAUUACUGGGCGUAAAGCGCAUGCAGGCGGCCUGUUAAGUCAGAUGUGAAAGCCCGGGGCUUAACCUCGGAAUUGCAUUUGAAAACUGGCAAGGCUAGAGUCUUGUAGAGGGGGGUAGAAUUUCAGGUGUAGCGGUGAAAUGCGUAGAGAUCUGAAGGAAUACC